Molecule: ribosomal RNA, 447 nt
Filed under: uncultured bacterium
Lineage: Bacteria
Description: bacterial SSU rRNA
Rfam family: Bacterial small subunit ribosomal RNA
Source: RNAcentral
UGGGGAAUCUUGGACAAUGGGCGCAAGCCUGAUCCAGCCAUGCCGCGUGAGUGAUGAAGGCCUUAGGGUUGUAAAACUCUUUCGCCGAGGACGAUAAUGACGGUACUCGGAGAAGAAGCUCCGGCUAACUUCGUGCCAGCAGCCGCGGUAAUACGAAGGGGGCUAGCGUUGUUCGGAUUUACUGGGCGUAAAGCGCGUGUAGGCGGGUCGUUAAGUUGGGGGUGAAAUCCCGAGGCUCAACCUCGGAACUGCCUCCAAAACUGGCGACCUGGAGCAAGAUAGAGGCGAGUGGAAUUCCGAGUGUAGAGGUGAAAUUCGUAGAUAUUCGGAGGAACACCAGUGGCGAAGGCGACUCGCUGGAUCUUUGCUGACGCUGAGACGCGAAAGCGUGGGGAGCAAACAGGAUUAGAUACCCACGUAGUCCCUGAGCGGGCUGGCAAGGCGCAU